This 279-nucleotide ribosomal RNA is filed under the name uncultured bacterium. Its description in RNAcentral is "partial 16S ribosomal RNA". It matches the Rfam family "Bacterial small subunit ribosomal RNA", at positions 506 to 784 of the family's 1533-position model. The record is from RNAcentral.
UGCCAGCCGCCGCGGUAAUACGGAGGGGGCUAGCGUUGUUCGGAAUUACUGGGCAUAAAGAGCACGUAGGCGGCUGCCUAAGUCAGAUGUGAAAUCCCUCGGCUCAACCGGGGAACUGCACCUGAAACUGGGCAGCUCGAGGAUGAUAGGGGUGAGUGGAACUCCAGGUGGAGCGGUGAAAUGCGUAGAUAUUGGAAAGAACACCGAUAGCGAAGGCACCUUACUGGGCCAUUACUGACACUCAGAGACGAAAACUAGGGUAGCAAACGGGAUUAGAUA